GAUGAACGCUGGCGGCGUGCCUAAUACAUGCAAGUCGAGCGAACAGACGAGGAGCUUGCUCCUCUGACGUUAGCGGCGGACGGGUGAGUAACACGUGGAUAACCUACCUAUAAGACUGGGAUAACUUCGGGAAACCGGAGCUAAUACCGGAUAAUAUAUUGAACCGCAUGGUUCAAUAGUGAAAGACGGUUUUGCUGUCACUUAUAGAUGGAUCCGCGCCGCAUUAGCUAGUUGGUAAGGUAACGGCUUACCAAGGCAACGAUGCGUAGCCGACCUGAGAGGGGGAUCGGCCACACUGGAACUGAGACACGGUCCAGACUCCUACGGGAGGCAGCAGUAGGGAAUCUUCCGCAAUGGGCGAAAGCCUGACGGAGCAACGCCGCGUGAGUGAUGAAGGUCUUCGGAUCGUAAAACUCUGUUAUUAGGGAAGAACAAAUGUGUAAGUAACUAUGCACGUCUUGACGGUACCUAAGCAGAAAGCCACGGCUAACUACGU
Molecule: ribosomal RNA, 496 nt
Filed under: uncultured bacterium
Lineage: Bacteria
Description: partial 16S ribosomal RNA
Rfam family: Bacterial small subunit ribosomal RNA
Source: RNAcentral